This 253-nucleotide ribosomal RNA is filed under the name uncultured bacterium. RNAcentral's name for it is "partial 16S ribosomal RNA". It matches the Rfam family "Bacterial small subunit ribosomal RNA", at positions 524 to 776 of the family's 1533-position model. The record is from RNAcentral.
UACGAAGGGAGCUAGCGUUGCUCGGAAUCACUGGGCGUAAAGCGCACGUAGGCGGAUUGUUAUGUCAGGGGUGAAAUCCUGGAGCUCAACUCCAGAACUGCCUUUGAUACUGGCGAUCUCGAGUCCGGGAGAGGUGAGUGGAACUGCGAGUGUAGAGGUGAAAUUCGUAGAUAUUCGCAAGAACACCAGUGGCGAAGGCGGCUCACUGGCCCGGUACUGACGCUGAGGUGCGAAAGCGUGGGGAGCAAACAGG